RNAcentral lists this ribosomal RNA (1435 nucleotides) under Klebsiella aerogenes. RNAcentral describes it as "bacterial SSU rRNA". It matches the Rfam family "Bacterial small subunit ribosomal RNA". Lineage: Bacteria; Pseudomonadati; Pseudomonadota; Gammaproteobacteria; Enterobacterales; Enterobacteriaceae. The record is from RNAcentral.
GCGCGGCUACACAUGCAGUCGAGCGGUAGCACAGAGAGCUUGCUCUCGGGUGACGAGCGGCGGACGGGUGAGUAAUGUCUGGGAAACUGCCUGAUGGAGGGGGAUAACUACUGGAAACGGUAGCUAAUACCGCAUAACGUCGCAAGACCAAAGUGGGGGACCUUCGGGCCUCAUGCCAUCAGAUGUGCCCAGAUGGGAUUAGCUAGUAGGUGGGGUAAUGGCUCACCUAGGCGACGAUCCCUAGCUGGUCUGAGAGGAUGACCAGCCACACUGGAACUGAGACACGGUCCAGACUCCUACGGGAGGCAGCAGUGGGGAAUAUUGCACAAUGGGCGCAAGCCUGAUGCAGCCAUGCCGCGUGUAUGAAGAAGGCCUUCGGGUUGUAAAGUACUUUCAGCGAGGAGGAAGGCGUUAAGGUUAAUAACCUUGGCGAUUGACGUUACUCGCAGAAGAAGCACCGGCUAACUCCGUGCCAGCAGCCGCGGUAAUACGGAGGGUGCAAGCGUUAAUCGGAAUUACUGGGCGUAAAGCGCACGCAGGCGGUCUGUCAAGUCGGAUGUGAAAUCCCCGGGCUCAACCUGGGAACUGCAUUCGAAACUGGCAGGCUAGAGUCUUGUAGAGGGGGGUAGAAUUCCAGGUGUAGCGGUGAAAUGCGUAGAGAUCUGGAGGAAUACCGGUGGCGAAGGCGGCCCCCUGGACAAAGACUGACGCUCAGGUGCGAAAGCGUGGGGAGCAAACAGGAUUAGAUACCCUGGUAGUCCACGCCGUAAACGAUGUCGACUUGGAGGUUGUGCCCUUGAGGCGUGGCUUCCGGAGCUAACGCGUUAAGUCGACCGCCUGGGGAGUACGGCCGCAAGGUUAAAACUCAAAUGAAUUGACGGGGGCCCGCACAAGCGGUGGAGCAUGUGGUUUAAUUCGAUGCAACGCGAAGAACCUUACCUACUCUUGACAUCCAGAGAACUUAGCAGAGAUGCUUUGGUGCCUUCGGGAACUCUGAGACAGGUGCUGCAUGGCUGUCGUCAGCUCGUGUUGUGAAAUGUUGGGUUAAGUCCCGCAACGAGCGCAACCCUUAUCCUUUGUUGCCAGCGGUCCGGCCGGGAACUCAAAGGAGACUGCCAGUGAUAAACUGGAGGAAGGUGGGGAUGACGUCAAGUCAUCAUGGCCCUUACGAGUAGGGCUACACACGUGCUACAAUGGCAUAUACAAAGAGAAGCGACCUCGCGAGAGCAAGCGGACCUCAUAAAGUAUGUCGUAGUCCGGAUUGGAGUCUGCAACUCGACUCCAUGAAGUCGGAAUCGCUAGUAAUCGUAGAUCAGAAUGCUACGGUGAAUACGUUCCCGGGCCUUGUACACACCGCCCGUCACACCAUGGGAGUGGGUUGCAAAAGAAGUAGGUAGCUUAACCUUCGGGAGGGCGCUACCACUUGAUCGUUUCG